Molecule: long non-coding RNA, 1527 nt
Filed under: Marmota monax (woodchuck)
Lineage: Eukaryota; Metazoa; Chordata; Mammalia; Rodentia; Sciuridae
Source: RNAcentral
UUUACAUAUGAAGUCCUGAACUUGAAAAUGUUGAGGACUUUUUGGUCAUUUAGGUCAUUGCUGAGUGUUUGAGUCAUCUUUUUCUCUGCUCUGACCAAAAGCCCCGAUGAGAAGAGUUUUAGAGAAGUUUAUCUGGGGGCUCAUGGCUUCAGAGGUCUCAGUCCUCAGACAGCAGGCUCCAGUGUCGUGUGUCCGAGGUGAGGCCAAGCAUCAUGGCGGAAAUCUGUUGGAGGAAAGCAACUCAGGACAUGGCGCGGGGACGCAGAAAGACUAAGCUGACUCACCGGGGACAAAACGUAUCCCCAAAGGCAUGGCCCCAGGGACCCAUCUCCUCCAGGCACACCCUCCCUGCCAAUAGCCACCACCUGGGAAUCCUGUCGGGGGAAUAAUGCGUUGAUCAGGUUAAGGCUCUCAUGACCCAUCUCGGAACCUUCUUGCACUGUCUCACAUAUGAGCUUUUGGGGGACACCUCAUGACACAACCAUAACAGUGGGCAAUUGAUUUUUAAUGAUUCCAGGGCUUUAAUUCUUUUGUGCUCAAUAGUGGGAAAAUGAACUUGCGACUCAGGGACAACUCAAAACAACGGGCAAAAGUGCUGUCAUCGUAGAUGCAGCAUCACAAGCCACAUGACCUUGCCGGUUGUCCUCCCUCCCUCCCUCCUCUUCUUCCUCCGUCUCCCUCUUCUUCUCCUUCUUGUGCUACUGGGAAUGGAGCCCAGGGCCUCAGGCAUGCGAGGCAAGAUCAGCCACUGAGCUGCACCCCAGGCCCUGGACAAAACUCCUGCUUGUAGGAACUGGGAGAAGCUGGACUCCCUGGUUGCUGUUGGCAGGUGUGGGAGGAGUGGGCUCUUUCUACUUUGUCCCAGAGUAACUCCACGUUCUACUUGGACCCUUCCACACUGUCUCAGCUGCUCCUGUGCCUCUUUGUGGAUCGUUUCCCACUCAAACAAGCAGUGGGUUAAACAGUAAUACGAGCCCUCAGUGAGGGCGACUGUGCUUUACUCAGAAACUGGAAGUGCCACUCUCUGCACACAAUGCCAAGCACAGCUGCAUGAUCACCUGGGGCUCCAGCUACUCUGGACCUGGAUCGGGAUCUUUGCUCCUGCUUCUCUCUGCCUUGAGCCCCUAGGGAGGGUUUGAUUCUGCGAGACUCCUUGCAGGCCUUUGCCAUGCCCACCUAGAGUCUCAACUCUGGCUACCAAGACAAAUGCCACAGACUGGGGAGCUCAAGUAAGAGACAUCUACUUCUUACAGUUCUGGCCUGAAAGCCCAGGCUCAGAGUGCCAGCCAGCGCGGUCAGCUCCUGGUGAGGUCCUCUCCCUGACUUGCCAGCAGCCACCAGCUUGCCGCGUCCUCACAUGGUGGAGAGGGGAGUGAGCUCUUUGGUCUCUGCCUGUGAGAGCAGCAAUCCCAACACAAGAGCCCCAUGCUAAGACUUCAUCCAGCCCCGAUGACUCCCAGGGGAUCCAAACUCCACCCCACUGGGGACUCAAGUUACGAAUUUCGGCAGGGUGAUACAAACAUUCAG